UACGUAGGGGGCAAGCGUUGUCCGGAAUCAUUGGGCGUAAAGCGCGUGUAGGCGGCCCGGUAAGUCCGCUGUGAAAGUCGGGGGCUCAACCCUCGGAUGCCGGUGGAUACUGUCGGGCUAGAGUGCGGGAGAGGCGAGUGGAAUUCCUGGUGUAGCGGUGAAAUGCGCAGAUAUCAGGAGGAACACCAAUUGCGAAGGCAGCUCGCUGGGACGCGACUGACGCUGAGACGCGAAAGCGUGGGGAGCAAACAGG
Molecule: ribosomal RNA, 253 nt
Filed under: uncultured bacterium
Lineage: Bacteria
Description: partial 16S ribosomal RNA
Rfam family: Bacterial small subunit ribosomal RNA
Source: RNAcentral